GCAAAAGAAGCUCGUUUUGCUGAACCACCAGCUCAGUAUCUCCCGGGAAACCAAAAUUCGGAUAUAAAAAAAUGAGGUCACGGUCUAGGAUCACCUCAACAACCAAUAACGAACCUACAUAAAGAGAGUGAAGCAACAUUUCUAAUUUCUGGUGGCUACUUCAAACAUAGUAGCCGGUGAGGGUGAAACCCCUCCCUACAAUCUCACCAACGCAGAACCACGCAUACAAUUCAAUCCCGAAGAGGGCUGCAAUACCAGCAUCUUCAACCUUCAGUUCCUGCCUAUUCCUCCAUAUAUGCUUCACACCGUCGAGCUCUUUCCAAAACUCCUGAUAGCGCAAAGGAAUAUUAGCAAGCCGAGUGUAAAACAGCUUCUUCGACAGCUCCUGGCACGUCUCCGCAGUCGGCGGAUCCACGAUAUACUGCUUGUUCUUCUCCAAGAGCUGCUUGUAGUACGCGCACCCGUGUUUAGCCACGAAACUCGAGGCCUGGGCGGCCUUUCCCUGCAGUUGUAGCAACUUCGACGCCAUCCGAACCCUAAACCAAACCCUUUGGGAUCGCCGGGAAGGCGGUGAAUGAGAUCGGAGGACUCGGACCAACGUUU
Molecule: unclassified non-coding RNA, 603 nt
Filed under: Hevea brasiliensis (rubber tree)
Lineage: Eukaryota; Viridiplantae; Streptophyta; Magnoliopsida; Malpighiales; Euphorbiaceae
Source: RNAcentral